GAUGAAGAACGCAGCGAAAUGCGAUAAGUAAUGUGAAUUGCAGAAUUCAGUGAAUCAUCGAAUCUUUGAACGCACAUUGCGCCCGCCAGUAUUCUGGCGGGCAUGCCUGUUCGAGCGUCAUUUCAACCAUCAAGCCCCCGGCUUGUGUUGGGGACCUGCGGCUGCCGCAGGCCCUGAAAACCAGUGGCGGGCUCGCUAGUCACUCCGAGCGUAGUAAUACAUCUCGCUCAGGGCGUGCUGCGGGUUCCGGCCGUUAAAAAAGCCUUAUUUACCCAAGGUUGACCUCGGAUCAGGUAAGAAGACCCGCUGAACUUAAGCAUAUCAAUAAGCGGAGGA
This 336-nucleotide unclassified non-coding RNA is filed under the name soil metagenome. RNAcentral describes it as "partial contains 5.8S ribosomal RNA, internal transcribed spacer 2, and large subunit ribosomal RNA". The stretch from base 1 to 120 matches the Rfam family "5.8S ribosomal RNA", at positions 35 to 154 of the family's 154-position model. The record is from RNAcentral.